This 385-nucleotide RNase P RNA is filed under the name Propionibacterium sp. Its description in RNAcentral is "RNase P RNA component class A". It matches the Rfam family "Bacterial RNase P class A". Rfam says of the family: Ribonuclease P (RNase P) is a ubiquitous endoribonuclease, found in archaea, bacteria and eukarya as well as chloroplasts and mitochondria. Its best characterised activity is the generation of mature 5'-ends of tRNAs by cleaving the 5'-leader elements of precursor-tRNAs. The record is from RNAcentral. Lineage: Bacteria; Bacillati; Actinomycetota; Actinomycetes; Propionibacteriales; Propionibacteriaceae.
CGAGUCGGCCGGGUGAUCGCGGCGCCGGUCACGGCGUCGAGGAAAGUCCGGACUCCACAGGGCGAGGUGGUGGGUAACACCCACCCGGGGCGACCCGCGGGACAGUGCCACAGAAAACAGACCGCCCGCCGCGAGGCGGGUAAGGGUGAAACGGCGGUGCAAGAGACCACCAGCGUCCCGGGUGACCGGGACGGCUCGGCAAACCCCACCUGGAGCAAGACCAAGAAGGACGCCACGGCGUCCGCGGAAGCGACCGAGGGCUGCCCGCCCGAGCUUCCGGGUAGGUCGCACAGCCACUGGCUGGAGGCCGCCGGUGACGGCGGUCACAGAUGGAUGAUCACCGCGCUCACGCGCACAGAAUCCGGCUUACAGGCCGACUCGUCCC